AAUUAAAUCAUUAAUUUUCGUUUUUAAUUAUUAGUUUUUAGGUAACUUUUCCAAAAAUUAAUGUUAUCCAAGAUCAGAACAGAAUUAAACAUGUUAUCCAGGAUCCGAACAGAGUUAAACCGGGUAAAACCCACCCAUUUGAAUUAAUUGUUGAAUUAUGGCUCAAAUCUUCAACAUUAUCUUCAAAAAUCCCAUUCAAAAAUGUAUAUAUAGAUUCCCUAAAAGUGCCUAAUAGUGCAACAUUCUCAUAAUCGAAAUGCAUGUAUUUUUU
This 271-nucleotide small RNA is filed under the name Arabidopsis thaliana (thale cress). RNAcentral describes it as "ATSL159290". The record is from RNAcentral. Lineage: Eukaryota; Viridiplantae; Streptophyta; Magnoliopsida; Brassicales; Brassicaceae.